GGGAAGGAAAGACAAAAGGGAAGGAAUGAAGGACGAAAGGGUGGAAGGGAAUGGGGGGAGGGAGAAAGAGGGAGAGAGGGAAGGAGGGAGGAAAGAGGGAAGGAAGGGAAGUCAAAAGGGAAGGAAGGAGGGAAAGAAGGAAUGAAGGAUGGAAGGUGAAAGAGGGAGGAAGGGAAGGAGGGAGGUAAGAAGGAAGGAAAGAGAGAAGGAAGGAAGGACUAAAGGGAGGAAGGGAAGGAUGGAAGGAGAAAGAGGGAGAGAGGGAAGGAGGGAGGAAAGAGGGAAGGAAGGAAAGACAAAAGGGAAGGAGAAAGAGGAUGAGAGGGAAGGAAGGACAAAUGAGUGGAUGGGAAGGAUGGAAUUAGAAAGAGAGAGGAAGGGAGGUAAGAAGGAAGGAAAAUCAAAAAGGGAAGGAAGGAAGGAGAAAGAGGGAGAGAGGGAAGGAAGGAAGGGAUGGAAGGAGGGAGGGAGAAAGAGGGAGGUAAGGAAGG
This is a non-coding RNA of Anolis sagrei ordinatus, 491 nucleotides long. The record is from RefSeq and is a predicted model, not a curated record. Lineage: Eukaryota; Metazoa; Chordata; Lepidosauria; Squamata; Anolidae.